GGGACACGUGGUAUCCUGUCUGAAUAUGGGGGGACCAUCCUCCAAGGCUAAAUACUCCUGACUGACCGAUAGUGAACCAGUACCGUGAGGGAAAGGCGAAAAGAACCCCGGCGAGGGGAGUGAAAAAGAACCUGAAACCGUGUACGUACAAGCAGUGGGAGCACAGGUUUACCUGUGUGACUGCGUACCUUUUGUAUAAUGGGUCAGCGACUUAUAUUCUGUAGCAAGGUUAACCGUAUAGGGGAGCCGGAGGGAAACCGAGUCUUAACCGGGCGUUAAGUUGCAGGGUAUAGACCCGAAACCCGGUGAUCUAGCCAUGGGCAGGUUGAAGGUUGGGUAACACUAACUGGAGGACCGAACCGACUAAUGUUGAAAAAUUAGCGGAUGACCUGUGGCUGGGGGUGAAAGGCCAAUCAAACCGGGAGAUAGCUGGUUCUCCCCGAAAGCUAUUUAGGUAGCGCCUCGUGAAUUCAUCUCCGGGGGUAGAGCACUGUUUCGGCUAGGGGGCCAUCCCGGCUUACCAACCCGAUGCAAACUGCGAAUACCGGAGAAUGUUAUCACGGGAGACACACGGCGGGUGCUAACGUCCGUCGUGAAGAGGGAAACAACCCAGACCGCCAGCUAAGGUCCCAAAGUCAUGGUUAAGUGGGAAACGAUGUGGGAAGGCCCAGACAGCCAGGAUGUUGGCUUAGAAGCAGCCAUCAUUUAAAGAAAGCGUAAUAGCUCACUGGUCGAGUCGGCCUGCGCGGAAGAUGUAACGGGGCUAAACCAUGCACCGAAGCUGCGGCAGCGACGCUUAUGCGUUGUUGGGUAGGGGAGCGUUCUGUAAGCCGUUGAAGGUGGCCUGUGAGGG
This 853-nucleotide ribosomal RNA is filed under the name Salmonella enterica subsp. enterica. RNAcentral's name for it is "partial 23S ribosomal RNA". It matches the Rfam family "Bacterial large subunit ribosomal RNA", at positions 419 to 1269 of the family's 2925-position model. The record is from RNAcentral. Lineage: Bacteria; Pseudomonadati; Pseudomonadota; Gammaproteobacteria; Enterobacterales; Enterobacteriaceae.